AAGAGCUCGUAGGCGGUUUGUCGCGUCUGCCGUGAAAGUCCGGGGCUCAACUCCGGAUCUGCGGUGGGUACGGGCAGACUAGAGUGAUGUAGGGGAGACUGGAAUUCCUGGUGUAGCGGUGAAAUGCGCAGAUAUCAGGAGGAACACCGAUGGCGAAGGCAGGUCUCUGGGCAUUAACUGACGCUGAGGAGCGAAAGCAUGGGGAGCGAACAGGAUUAGAUACCCUGGUAGUCCAUGCCGUAAACGUUGGGCACUAGGUGUGGGGGACAUUCCACGUUUUCCGCGCCGUAGCUAACGCAUUAAGUGCCCCGCCUGGGGAGUACGGCCGCAAGGCUAAAACUCAAAGGAAUUGACGGGGGCCCGCACAAGCGGCGGAGCAUGCGGAUUAAUUCGAUGCAACGCGAAGAACCUUACCAAGGCUUGACAUGGACCGGACCGCCGCAGAAAUGUGGUUUCCCCUUUGGGGCUGGUUUACAGGUGGUGCAUGGUUGUCGUCAGCUCGUGUCGUGAGAUGUUGGGUUAAGUCCCGCAACGAGCGCAACCCUCGUUCUAUGUUGCCAGCACGUGAUGGUGGGGACUCAUAGGAGACUGCCGGGGUCAACUCGGAGGAAGGUGGGGACGACGUCAAAUCAUCAUGCCCCUUAUGUCUUGGGCUUCACGCAUGCUACAAUGGCCGGUACAAAGGGUUGCGAUACUGUGAGGUGGAGCUAAUCCCAAAAAGCCGGUCUCAGUUCGGAUUGGGGUCUGCAACUCGACCCCAUGAAGUCGGAGUCGCUAGUAAUCGCAGAUCAGCAACGCUGCGGUGAAUACGUUCCCGGGCCUUGUACACACCGCCCGUCAAGUCACGAAAGUUGGUAACACCCGAAGCCGGUGGCUAACCCCUUGUGGGAGGAGCCGUCGAAGUGGGACU
RNAcentral lists this ribosomal RNA (910 nucleotides) under Arthrobacter sp. RNAcentral describes it as "bacterial SSU rRNA". It matches the Rfam family "Bacterial small subunit ribosomal RNA", at positions 563 to 1469 of the family's 1533-position model. Lineage: Bacteria; Bacillati; Actinomycetota; Actinomycetes; Micrococcales; Micrococcaceae. The record is from RNAcentral.